RNAcentral lists this ribosomal RNA (495 nucleotides) under uncultured bacterium. RNAcentral's name for it is "partial 16S ribosomal RNA". It matches the Rfam family "Bacterial small subunit ribosomal RNA", at positions 28 to 507 of the family's 1533-position model. The record is from RNAcentral.
GACGAACGCUGGCGGCGUGCCUAAUACAUGCAAGUAGAACGCUGAAGGAGGAGCUUGCUUCUCUGGAUGAGUUGCGAACGGGUGAGUAACGCGUAGGUAACCUGCCUGGUAGCGGGGGAUAACUAUUGGAAACGAUAGCUAAUACCGCAUAAUAGCAGUUGUUGCAUGACAACUGUUUGAAAGGUGCAAUUGCACCACUACCAGAUGGGCCUGCGUUGUAUUAGCUAGUUGGUGGGGUAACGGCUCACCAAGGCGACGAUACAUAGCCGACCUGAGAGGGUGAUCGGCCACACUGGGACUGAGACACGGCCCAGACUCCUACGGGAGGCAGCAGUAGGGAAUCUUCGGCAAUGGACGGAAGUCUGACCGAGCAACGCCGCGUGAGUGAAGAAGGUUUUCGGAUCGUAAAGCUCUGUUGUAAGAGAAGAACGAGUGUGAGAGUGGAAAGUUCACACUGUGACGGUAGCUUACCAGAAAGGGACGGCUAACUACGUG